Molecule: ribosomal RNA, 492 nt
Filed under: uncultured bacterium
Lineage: Bacteria
Description: partial 16S ribosomal RNA
Rfam family: Bacterial small subunit ribosomal RNA
Source: RNAcentral
GAUGAACGCUAGCUACAGGCUUAACACAUGCAAGUCGAGGGGAAACGGCAUUAAGUGCUUGCACUUUUUGGACGUCGACCGGCGCACGGGUGAGUAACGCGUAUCCAACCUUCCCAUGACUAAGGGAUAACCUGCCGAAAGGCAGACUAAUACCUUAUGGUCUUCACUGACGGCAUCAGAUGUGAAGUAAAGAUUUAUCGGUUAUGGAUGGGGAUGCGUCUGAUUAGCUUGUUGGCGGGGUAACGGCCCACCAAGGCAACGAUCAGUAGGGGUUCUGAGAGGAAGGUCCCCCACAUUGGAACUGGGACACGGUCCAAACUCCUACGGGAGGCAGCAGUGAGGAAUAGUGGUCAAUGGGCGAGAGCCUGAACCAGCCAAGUAGCGUGCAGGAUGACGGCCCUAUGGGUUGUAAACUGCUUUUGUAUGGGGAUAAAGUCAAUCACGUGUGAUUGUUUGCAGGUACCAUACGAAUAAGGACCGGCUAAUUCCGUG